This 600-nucleotide long non-coding RNA is filed under the name Aquilegia coerulea. RNAcentral describes it as "long non-coding RNA (ACOE_LNC000713)". The record is from RNAcentral. Lineage: Eukaryota; Viridiplantae; Streptophyta; Magnoliopsida; Ranunculales; Ranunculaceae.
GGCUGUCUAGGUUGCCAUCCUUAAAAUGACAGCCAUCUUGACAGCCCAUCCUAUCCAUAGAUUUCAAUUUAAUCCAAGGGUCCAUAUAUAUUCCUCAUUAUAACUUAAUCUUUAAAAGGGCACUACUGUAAAUUGCCCUCUUUCUUCCCUUUCCUCUCAAUCUCUCUUCUGUAUACAACUAAACCAAUGGCAAAAUAACUCAAACUUAAUAUCACGCUCGAAGUUUUUUCCCUUCUUAGAUAGGGGGUUCUUCAAUGUUCAAUCUUCAUUCUUUCCUUCUCCUUCUAUGAUAACAAUUUUUUUCUUUUUGUGUUUGUUUCAAUUUUUUCUUUCAUUUUGUUGAUAAAGUGUUACUACCCAUUAGGUGUUAAUUUAUGAAAUUAAUUAUAAGCAAGUUCCUCAAAUAAAUUAGACCUGGUACAGUUUAAAUUAGAAUUGAUUUAAAACUUUGAUAAUUAAUUUUUUGGUUAAGUUAGUAUGAUUACUGGGGAGUUUGUGAUGAAACUUCCAUUAAUUUUGAUACUAAGGACAUUUUGACAGAAAGAAAAUGUAGAGUUGAUUUGUCUGGCCAUGAAAAUCAGAGAAAACCAAAUUAAAAUG